Long non-coding RNA from Anolis carolinensis (green anole), 1820 nucleotides. RefSeq lists it as uncharacterized. The transcript has 2 exons. Lineage: Eukaryota; Metazoa; Chordata; Lepidosauria; Squamata; Anolidae. The record is from RefSeq and is a predicted model, not a curated record.
CAGUUCAAAGCAGAUAUUGUGGGAUUUCCUGCCUUGAUCUUCUGGGUUAUAGGACUGUGUGGAAGGGCCCCAGGACACGAGUGCUUUCAAGUCGCCUGUCGGGUUUUAAUAGGGUUUGUCUCAGGCAAGGAGCACUGUAGCCCCUUCCACACAGCUGUAUAAAAUUUCUCAUUUUCUGCUUUGGACUGCACUAUAUGGCAGUGUGGACUCAGAUAACCAAGGGCCCUUCCACACAGCCAUAUAACCCAGAUUCUAUGAUAUGAUCUUCUGGGUUAUAUGGCUGUGUGGAAGGCAGAGAUCAAGGCAGAAAAUCCCACAAUAUCUGCUUUGAACUGGGUUACCUGAGUCCACAGUUCAAAGCAGAAAAUGUGGGAUUUUCUACCUUGAUAUUCUGGGUUAUAUGCCUGUGUGGAAGGGCCCUGAAGCCCCUUCCACACAGCUGUAUGUUGUUCAUAAGUUCAGUCGCUUCCGACUCUUCAUGAUCUGGACCAGCCCUGGGUUAUCUGAGUCCACACUGCCAGAUAUUCCAGUCCAAAGUAGAUAAUGUGGGAUUUUAUACAGCGGUGUAGAAGGGGCCUCAGAUAUUCCAGUUAAAAGCUGAUAGGAAUUGUGGGUGUUGCAGUCCAAAACACCUGGAGUGCCAAAGUUUGCCCAUGCCUGGACUAGAACAAAACAUCACAAGGCAAUUAUAAAGUUAAUAUUUAUUGCUCCCAUGACUGCCGCUGCUGAAAAUCCUGGCACUUUCAGCUUCUACAUUCAGUGCACAUUGUCCUUUGCACUUUAGCAGCUCCCGAGGCCCUGGUGUGAGGCGGAACACAACCGGAAUCUGGCGCAAAAUUGGGUUAGUCUCCUGAAGGCCGACAAUCCACUUCGCCAAGGUAGCCUGGUCUCCUGCCCCUGCCAUACACAUGGCAAAUACAGGGCCCUCCUCAACUAAAAGAGGAAGAAGCAACAUUGUUUUCAGAUCAAAAAACCCAAAUCCAAACCCAACCCACAGAACAAAACUAAAAAAUAGCCCAACAAGAAUCACAUUAAAGAGCCUGCCUAUAUCACAAGCCAAGAGAAGCUCCACUCAACAAUCAGAAGUCAUCGCACAACUAUUCUAAAGACAGUUCUUUACUCCAUCAUUGUGAUUUUUUUUAAAAAAAAAAACAGUUCAGAUCAUUUUUCUCUUGCCAUGUCUUCUUUCAGAUGAUCUCUGUCUUGCUAUGAGAUUUUGAGCAGAAUUUGAUUCUUGAGACCCCCAUUUUUUUUUUAAAUAAAGGUUCUUAUGGAUGAGCAGGCAUGCAACUUCUACAGAACACUGCUCAACAGAAGUAGUCUUCAUGGACAUGUAAUAAAGUAGACCUACAAACCAGAAACUGUUGGAAAAAUGUCUUCUUGUACAGCUUAAGUCUCUACGGUUAGAUAGGAAGCCUAGAAAACAGGGACACCUUCCCCAGUUCCAUGCAUGCUUUGAUUAGGCUUUACUAUUGUUUCCUACCUCAUGUCCUGUUUAGGUCAACCCACCCCAUUGAUGCUUUAGAAAUGUGAUCUCUCCUAGGGCUUUGAUGUAACUUCCCCAAUUGGGCCUUUGGAAUGUUUAUGGCUCUAGAGAAGAAGCGACCUACGAGGCUUGGUCGCCAUUCCUGCUUCCUGCUUUGUUCCAGAGAGAGGACGCACUCUGUCCGCUCUUAUACUCAAGAUGUAGCUAUCGAUACCUUUGUUAUUUUGAUCCGUCUAUGUGUAUUAGAACAGGAUAGAUUAGCUAGUUAGCUCCAAACCUUUUCUAUCCAUUAAUGGAUUUCUUUUUACCUCAAUAAAUGCUUUUAAACUUUAAA